UGCGCAGGUGGGCUUGUAAGUCAGUGGUGAAAUACUGCCGCUUAACGGUAGAACUGCCAUUGAUACUGCAAGUCUUGAGUAUGGUUGAGGUAGGCGGAAUGUGUUGUGUAGCGGUGAAAUGCAUAGAUAUGACACAGAACUCCAAUUGUGAAGGCAGCUUACUAAGCCAUUACUGACGCUGAGGCACGAAAGCGUGGGGAGCGAACAGGAUUAGAUACCCUGGUAGUCC
Molecule: ribosomal RNA, 229 nt
Filed under: uncultured bacterium
Lineage: Bacteria
Description: partial 16S ribosomal RNA
Rfam family: Bacterial small subunit ribosomal RNA
Source: RNAcentral